Molecule: ribosomal RNA, 252 nt
Filed under: uncultured bacterium
Lineage: Bacteria
Description: partial 16S ribosomal RNA
Rfam family: Bacterial small subunit ribosomal RNA
Source: RNAcentral
UACGGAGGAUGCGAGCGUUAUCCGGAUUUAUUGGGUUUAAAGGGUGCGUAGGCGGGCUUUUAAGUCAGCGGUAAAAAUUCGGGGCUCAACCCCGUCCGGCCGUUGAAACUGGGGGUCUUGAGUGGGCGAGAAGAAGGCGGAAUGCGUGGUGUAGCGGUGAAAUGCAUAGAUAUCACGCAGAACCCCGAUUGCGAAGGCAGCCUUCCGACGCCCUACUGACGCUGAGGCACGAAAGUGCGGGGAUCGAACAGG